This is a long non-coding RNA of Parus major (Great Tit), 743 nucleotides long. RefSeq lists it as uncharacterized. The record is from RefSeq and is a predicted model, not a curated record. Lineage: Eukaryota; Metazoa; Chordata; Aves; Passeriformes; Paridae. The transcript is spliced from 2 exons.
CCGCCGCCGCUCCCGCCGGCCCCGUUCCGCGCGGGGGGAGGAGUUCGGUCACCGCUCACCGAAAGGGAAGUGCUUCGGUAAAGAGCUGAACUAGGGUCCCGCGCCUUGAUAAACUAACUGCGUGAUUGCGGAGGUGCUCUGUUAGCAUCUCGUUCUGGCGACUUUGCAUAGGGCUUUCCCAGAGCACUCUACACUGAGCCAUGGGAAACGGGGGCACAACAAAGUGAAGACUGAUCACAGACCUCCUUCAGGAUGGCAAGACUCACCCGGCUGCUCAUGGAGAGCUCUACACGCCCCGGCUGCCUGCCCUGCCUCGUGGUACUACUGUGCACAGUGUGCUGUGUUUAAAGGCUACUGCUGUGCUGUUUCCUUGCUCCAGUCUGUCCAUCCUGGAUGGUCCAUUUUGUUCCAUCUAAUCACCACACAGGUUUGGAGAAGGUGACCUGAAAAGUCAUCCUUGUACUUCCCUAGCCUGCAAAAUGGACUAAUGGAAUUUUUAAUACCAGAACACCUUUUGAGGCCAAAGCAGUGCUUGUAUAGAUGAUUUUAAACGUUUCCUUCUAGUAGACAUGUAAAACAUGUAGUUUGCUUUUGUAAGGGUUUUUCUUUCUGUGUGCUUAAAGUACUCUUCCAUACCAACAGAGCUGUGACUGGAUGUAGUAUGACCUGGCAUAAAUGCCAGGGUAGAAACUAAACUUUGGUAGUUGGAUUUGAUCAGAAAAAUAAAAGCAGCUUGAUGUUUC